This 251-nucleotide ribosomal RNA is filed under the name uncultured prokaryote. Its description in RNAcentral is "partial 16S ribosomal RNA". It matches the Rfam family "Bacterial small subunit ribosomal RNA", at positions 525 to 775 of the family's 1533-position model. The record is from RNAcentral.
ACGUAGGGUGCGAGCGUUAAUCGGAAUUACUGGGCGUAAAGCGUGCGCAGGCGGCUCUGUAAGAUAGAUGUGAAAUCCCCGGGCUCAACCUGGGAACUGCAUUUGUGACUGCAAGACUAGAGUGCGUCAGAGGGAGGUGGAAUUCCGCGUGUAGCGGUGAAAUGCGUAGAGAUGCGGAGGAACACCGGUGGCGAAGGCAGCCCCCUGGGCUGACACUGACGCUCAUGCGCGAAAGCGUGGGGAGCAAACAG